RNAcentral lists this ribosomal RNA (585 nucleotides) under uncultured marine bacterium. RNAcentral's name for it is "bacterial SSU rRNA". It matches the Rfam family "Bacterial small subunit ribosomal RNA", at positions 338 to 916 of the family's 1533-position model. The record is from RNAcentral.
CCUACGGGAGGCAGCAGUGGGGAAUAUUGCACAAUGGGGGAAACCCUGAUGCAGCCAUGCCGCGUGUGUGAAGAAGGCCUUCGGGUUGUAAAGCACUUUCAGUUGUGAGGAAAAGUUAGUAGUUAAUACCUGCUAGCCGUGACGUUAACAACAGAAGAAGCACCGGCUAACUCCGUGCCAGCAGCCGCGGUAAUACGGAGGGUGCGAGCGUUAAUCGGAAUUACUGGGCGUAAAGCGCACGCAGGCGGUUUGUUAAGCUAGAUGUGAAAGCCCCGGGCUCAACCUGGGACGGUCAUUUAGAACUGGCAGACUAGAGUCUUGGAGAGGGGAGUGGAAUUCCAGGUGUAGCGGUGAAAUGCGUAGAUAUCUGGAGGAACAUCAGUGGCGAAGGCGACUCCCUGGCCAAAGACUGACGCUCAUGUGCGAAAGUGUGGGUAGCGAACAGGAUUAGAUACCCUGGUAGUCCACACCGUAAACGCUGUCUACUAGCUGUUUGUGACUUUAAGUCGUGAGUAGCGAAGCUAACGCGAUAAGUAGACCGCCUGGGGAGUACGGCCGCAAGGUUAAAACUCAAGGAAUUGACGG